This 491-nucleotide ribosomal RNA is filed under the name uncultured bacterium. RNAcentral describes it as "partial 16S ribosomal RNA". It matches the Rfam family "Bacterial small subunit ribosomal RNA", at positions 29 to 506 of the family's 1533-position model. The record is from RNAcentral.
AGUGAACGCUGGCGGUAGGCCUAACACAUGCAAGUCGAACGUCAGCACAGUAAGAGCUUGCUCUUACGGGUGGCGAGUGGCGGACGGGUGAGGAAUACAUCGGAAUCUACUUUUUCGUGGGGGAUAACGUAGGGAAACUUACGCUAAUACCGCAUACGACCUACGGGUGAAAGCAGGGGAUCUUCGGACCUUGCGCGAUUGAAUGAGCCGAUGUCGGAUUAGCUAGUUGGCGGGGUAAAGGCCCACCAAGGCGACGAUCCGUAGCUGGUCUGAGAGGAUGAUCAGCCCCACUGGAACUGAGACACGGGCCAGCUCCCAACGGGGGGACGCAGGGGGGAAUAUUGGAAAAUGGGGGCAAGCCUGAUCCAGCCAACCCGGGUGGGUGAAGAAGGCCUUCGGGUUGUAAAGCCCUUUUUUUGGGAAAGAAAAGCAGCAGGUUAAUACCCCGCUGUUCGGACGGUACCCAAAAAAUAAACACCGGCUAACUUCGU